This 506-nucleotide ribosomal RNA is filed under the name uncultured bacterium. RNAcentral describes it as "bacterial SSU rRNA". It matches the Rfam family "Bacterial small subunit ribosomal RNA", at positions 28 to 517 of the family's 1533-position model. The record is from RNAcentral.
GACGAACGCUGGCGGCGUGCCUAAUACAUGCAAGUCGAGCGGACCAAAGGGAGCUUGCUCCUGGAGGUCAGCGGCGAACGGGUGAGUAACACGUGGGCAACCUGCCUGUAAGACUGGGAUAACAUCGAGAAAUCGGUGCUAAUACCGGAUAAUAAAAAGAACUGCAUGGUUCUUUUUUGAAAGAUGGUUUCGGCUAUCACUUACAGAUGGGCCCGCGGCGCAUUAGCUAGUUGGUGAGGUAACGGCUCACCAAGGCAACGAUGCGUAGCCGACCUGAGAGGGUGAUCGGCCACACUGGGACUGAGACACGGCCCAGACUCCUACGGGAGGCAGCAGUAGGGAAUCUUCCGCAAUGGACGAAAGUCUGACGGAGCAACGCCGCGUGAGUGAUGAAGGUUUUCGGAUCGUAAAACUCUGUUGUUAGGGAAGAACAAGUGCCGUUCGAAAGGGCGGCACCUUGACGGUACCUAACGAGAAAGCCACGGCUAACUACGUGCCAGCAGCCG